This is a non-coding RNA of Bemisia tabaci, 2283 nucleotides long. NCBI's taxonomy places the organism in Eukaryota, Metazoa, Arthropoda, Insecta, Hemiptera, Aleyrodidae. The record is from RefSeq and is a predicted model, not a curated record.
GGACGCUAUUAGUGCCACGUCACAAAAAAGCGAUAAAUAUUGAUUUUUCCACAUUGGUAGCAAAGAUAGAGGUUCAGUUCCUCGACAGUCCUUAGUACAUACACGUUGUUCGGAAUCUACUAUUUAGGCCUUUGAACAAUUUCUCUCUCUUCAAUAGUUUUGCUUAGCUUCUUUCAUCAAAUUUUAGGGAUGAACAGUUGAAAAUGGUAAAGGCCAAGGAAGUAGGCAACCGAUCUGCUUGUUUACCUUAAAACUCCAAUCAAAAUCAGCUAACUGCAAGGAAGACUUUGAUUCCAUUCUGGAUGCUUUGAUACUUCACAAACUGAGAUGUAAGUUCUUGAAUGACACUUCAGCAGCAUGCCAGCAUGAAGUAAUUUUCGCUUGAAUUUAUUCAAGAUUUCAGGACAAGGUACACUCUACUACAGGUAUGGACAAAUGGAAUUUUAGAAAGUCGUCAAAACGCGUAGAUUUGACAGCAUCGAGAGUACGACUGCGAAGAGCGAAGACAUACGCGGCAAAUGGACGGUAAGGUAACAGCACCAGUACCCGGAAUGGUACCAGUAUCCGGAACAUCGCUCAGUUUUUCGUAAAAAAUAAGCGGUAGGUACAUCAGUGCAAAAAGGGCAUCAGGGUUUCACAAAUUACACUCAGAGGGCGCCACCUUGCAAUAAGUGUGAUGGUCGUGCGCUCCUUUUAUUAUCUGUACCAUGCUUCUAUAGUGACGUAUUCACAGAGCGGUUCGUUCUGUGAAUACGUCACUAUAGAAGCAUGGUACAGAUAAUAAAAGGAGCGCACGACCAUCACACUUAUUGCAAGGUGGCGCCCUCUGAGUGUAAUUUGUGAAACCCUGAUGCCCUUUUUGCACUGAUGUACCUACCGCUUAUUUUUUACGAAAAACUGAGCGAUGUUCCGGAUACUGGUACCAUUCCGGGUACUGGUGCUGUUACCUUACCGUCCAUUUGCCGCGUAUGUCUUCGCUCUUCGCAGUCGUACUCUCGAUGCUGUCAAAUCUACGCGUUUUGACGACUUUCUAAAAUUCCAUUUGUCCAUACCUGUAGUAGAGUGUACCUUGUCCUGAAAUCUUGAAUAAAUUCAAGCGAAAAUUACUUCAUGCUGGCAUGCUGCUGAAGUGUCAUUCAAGAACUUACAUCUCAGUUUGUGAAGUAUCAAAGCAUCCAGAAUGGAAUCAAAGUCUUCCUUGCAGUUAGCUGAUUUUGAUUGGAGUUUUAAGGUAAACAAGCAGAUCGGUUGCCUACUUCCUUGGCCUUUACCAUUUUCAACUGUUCAUCCCUAAAACUGUUAAUUAACAGGAACCAGCUCAAAACUAGGGAUGGUCGAAUAUUUGAAUAAUCGAAUAUUCGAUAUUCGAGCCAUUGCUACCAAGAUAAUCGCAUCACAAUCGAGUAUUGGUGAAACUAUUCGAUUAUUAUCCAAUUAAUAUUAGAAGAGGCGAAACUGCGAUUAUUAUCUAUUACUUCCCCUCCAACAGUUCAAAAUUUUGAGAUUAGACCCUCUCUAGACGCUAUUAGUGCCAUCUCACAGAAAAGUGAUAUCUUUUGACUUUUUUGCAUCGGUAGCAUCAAAAAAGGUUGUGCAAAUGUCAUUGUAUGGUUACAAUUCGAGUUCAUGGAAAAUCCGUAUGAUGACGGAUGACGUCGAUACUAGUACCUAGCAUCUAUACCUUCAUGCCCUUUAGUUAGGGAUGUUGAUACUCGAGGAAGUAUCGACUCUAAGCUUCGAUAGCGAUAUCGAGCAUCGAGCUGAAGUAUCGAUACUCUUGCGGUAUUGGUACCAUGGAUACUAUUCCUAAAUGAUGCCGUAAUUAUUAGUGUGCCUAUGUCUUUCGACCGUUUAAUUCAGCCAGACUUAUGCUUCUCUCAAUACCGCCCUUAUCCGCCUGCUUAGUCAGAGCCCUUCACUACUGUUAUCGAUCCGAGCUUUCAACUUUUUUAACGAAAGUAAUCAUCUUGAGAAACCUGAUUACCCUGUAGUUUGUCACAGUGCAUAUUCAAGGUGAAACAGAAGAGAGAGAAGUUGUGAUCAAAGAAAAAGAGGCCUUCUCCAUGGCAAAAUCAAAUAAAGUACUGAUAUCAUCGAAAUUGGGGUUUGAGGAGCGACACUACAUAGUAACGAUACUGCUGAGUAUCGAUGCCAAGUAUUGAUGAGUAUCGAUACUUUGAAAGUAUCGGUUUAAUAUCGACCACCCUACCUUAAGUCCAAGUAGUACUAAUAUGGUUUGAAAAAGUCCAUUAAGUGGAAAUACUUUACCCAAAGUGCAUAAAA